UGCAGGGGUGCCUGUUUUUAACUGACUGGUCACGUGAUGAAUAAAACCAAAUCACCAUCUUUCGGCUGAUCUUGCU
This 76-nucleotide small nucleolar RNA is filed under the name Crocodylus porosus (Australian saltwater crocodile). The record is from RNAcentral. Lineage: Eukaryota; Metazoa; Chordata; Crocodylia; Crocodylidae.